Molecule: long non-coding RNA, 388 nt
Filed under: Carica papaya (papaya)
Lineage: Eukaryota; Viridiplantae; Streptophyta; Magnoliopsida; Brassicales; Caricaceae
Description: long non-coding RNA (CPAP_LNC001991)
Source: RNAcentral
UGGGUGGGGUUAUUUAUACCCUUUGCCUUUUAAUCUCAACCAUCCAUCAAGAUUAAAUCUGGACCGUUUGAUCGUGAUUUAAUUGGGAUUAAAUCUGGGCCGUCCAUCGCGAUGCAAUAUGGGCCGUCCGUGCGCGUGAAUCUGGGUCGUCCAUGCGCACGUUUGAUCUUGGCCGUCCGUGCGCGCGAGAACGGAUCUGGGCCGUCCGAUCGCGCGCACACGGAUCGCCCACGUGGCCCGUCCCCUGGUCAGCGUUUCCUUACCACGCGGCGCGUCCUGGUUGGCCGGGGGUGCUGACUGGUCCGCUGACGUGGCUGCUGACGUGGCACAACUUUUCUAAAUUACGUUUUGACCCCCGGUUUUCUAUUUUCUUUUCAAAAACACUCCC